GUGCUCGCUUCCACAGCACAUAUACAGAAAUCGGAAGGCUACAGAGGAGAUUAGCAUGGCCCCUGCAUAAGGAUGAUCCUCAAAUUUGCAAGAUGUUCCAUGUUUAA
This is a small nuclear RNA of Zalophus californianus (California sea lion), 107 nucleotides long. NCBI's taxonomy places the organism in Eukaryota, Metazoa, Chordata, Mammalia, Carnivora, Otariidae. The record is from Ensembl.